Molecule: ribosomal RNA, 245 nt
Filed under: uncultured bacterium
Lineage: Bacteria
Description: partial 16S ribosomal RNA
Rfam family: Bacterial small subunit ribosomal RNA
Source: RNAcentral
CACGGGGGGAGCAAGCGUUGUUCGGAAUCACUGGGCGUAAAGGGCGUGUAGGCGGUUGGGUAAGUGAGAUGUGAAAUCCCCCGGCUUACCCGGGGACCUGCAUCUCAUACUGCUCGACUUGAGUACGGGAGAGGAUGGGGGAAUUCCUGGUGUAGCGGUGAAAUGCGUAGAUAUCAGGAGGAACACCGGUGGCGAAAGCGCCCAUCUGGCCCGAUACUGACGCUGAUGCGCGAAAGCUAGGGGAG